Limulus polyphemus (Atlantic horseshoe crab) is the source of this 102-nucleotide long non-coding RNA. RefSeq lists it as uncharacterized. The record is from RefSeq and is a predicted model, not a curated record. NCBI's taxonomy places the organism in Eukaryota, Metazoa, Arthropoda, Merostomata, Xiphosura, Limulidae. The transcript is spliced from 3 exons.
UUUUCAAUGUUUCUUCCAUUGAACCUGGUUUCAGUGUUGACUCUAGGCCUUGAUAGUAUGCAAGGUUUUCAGGAUUCCUAUUCAGCAAUUCUCUGUAGAUUU